RNAcentral lists this ribosomal RNA (465 nucleotides) under Vreelandella stevensii. RNAcentral describes it as "partial 16S ribosomal RNA". It matches the Rfam family "Bacterial small subunit ribosomal RNA", at positions 338 to 795 of the family's 1533-position model. Lineage: Bacteria; Pseudomonadati; Pseudomonadota; Gammaproteobacteria; Oceanospirillales; Halomonadaceae. The record is from RNAcentral.
CCUACGGGAGGCUGCAGUGGGGAAUAUUGGACAAUGGGGGGAACCCUGAUCCAGCCAUGCCGCGUGUGUGAAGAAGGCCCUCGGGUUGUAAAGCACUUUCAGUGAGGAAGAACGCCUGGUGGUUAAUACCCAUCAGGAAAGACAUCACUCACAGAAGAAGCACCGGCUAACCCCGUGCCAGCAGCCGCGGUAAUACGGAGGGUGCGAGCGUUAAUCGGAAUUACUGGGCGUAAAGCGCGCGUAGGUGGCUUGAUAAGCCGGUUGUGAAAGCCCCGGGCUCAACCUGGGAACGGCAUCCGGAACUGUCAAGCUAGAGUGCAGGAGAGGAAGGUAGAAUUCCCGGUGUAGCGGUGAAAUGCGUAGAGAUCGGGAGGAAUACCAGUGGCGAAGGCGGCCUUCUGGACUGACACUGACACUGAGGUGCGAAAGCGUGGGUAGCAAACAGGAUUAGAUACCCUGGUAGUC